This is a long non-coding RNA of Poeciliopsis prolifica (blackstripe livebearer), 1399 nucleotides long. RefSeq lists it as uncharacterized. The record is from RefSeq and is a predicted model, not a curated record. NCBI's taxonomy places the organism in Eukaryota, Metazoa, Chordata, Actinopteri, Cyprinodontiformes, Poeciliidae. The transcript is spliced from 3 exons.
UUCGGGACCGCGGCUCGACGGACGGAGAAGAAGCCCAGAGGAGGAGCCGGGAAGGAGGAGAAGGAGGAGGGAGCAGCGGGGCAGAGCGGAGUCCUAAAUAAAGUCCGGCAAAUUUAUCGGUGUAGGUCGCACGCAGUUCCGGCAGGGGGCAGCAGAAUCUAACUAAUAUGUGAUUCGUGCGUUUUUGGAAACUCUCGUCCUUCCGGUGCUAAAAUCAAACAAGGAGUCGCUGUGGCACCGUGCGACGACGGCGUGGCCUCAUGGACAGAGGGCAACGGGGGACUCGCUGUCCAGGAGACAAUGGUGCAAGCCUGCAACGCAAUGCAAGUUAGCGCCCAGCGAGGCUGCCAUUAAUCAUGCUUGACAGGGAACACUGGCGUACAGGUGGGAACGCUGCCACCGACCCUGUGACUGAUUUUAUGUUGAAGCGGAACCGGUAUGCAUCGAGACCGACGUCGCUUAGUCGAUGCGAUCACAUCUGAUUCACUCACUAAGGCUUGAAAGAGGCGUUGAGGUCUGUACGUAGGUUUGUUCCGUCAGUUCGCCUGACAAACAAAUGUUCGUUUGAGCCACAAAGUUCACCAGAAACACGGCGAGCUGCAGAGCGUUGGAGCGGCCGCGGCCUUCUGACGGCCCAGGAAUGAUUAAUGGACGUUAGAACAAAAUACCUACAUCAGUGCAAAGUGUUUCACUGCAAUCAAACUGGAUCAUUUCAUAAAUCCGGAGACCUUUCUUUGGAAGACGUGGAACAAACAACAACAACAGCAAAAAGGGGGGGAAAAACCCUGAUGAGUGAAUAAUAGGUUUGACUUUCUUUUCCUUUAAGCAGUGCAGUUGUCAGAAACAUAAUUUUGACUAAGCGGUAAUCUCUCCAGAGGGGAGGAAAAUGUAAAAAAAUAAAUAAAUAAUAAUAAAAAUACCAGAAAGCAGUGUCACAUCUCUGUUUUUAUGAAUCUAAGUUGUAUAUUCAAGUCAGUUCCAAUUUGUGGCUUAAACCGUCGUCCAAAAAAAGUAAGAGGUGCUGAAAAGUUUCCGGCUCUGCAUAAUUGUUAUGCCUGCCAGCCCUUCCUUCCCUCAGCCAAGAGUUUUUCCCACUGCUCUUUGAUUUCAUUACAAAAUCCUUCUGUGGCCCAAGGAGCCAAAUUUACUUUCAGAGAGCUAACGUGGAGAGAACUGUGCCUUAAAUCUGACAAUUUCACAAAGCAGCGAGGCUAUUUGUAAAUUUAUUAGAUUUUUUUUUUUCAGUCACGGAAUUACCACAUUAAUUUAGUUUCAUUUCCCCCCAAUUGCUAUUUGACAACAUUUUUGACCUUUUUUAGUGCAGGCUGUGGAAAAGCAUCGUCGUUAAACCUGGAAGAAAUCUGUUUCAAAUGUUGUUGCUUUUGACAUUUGUACUUUU